This 174-nucleotide ribosomal RNA is filed under the name uncultured bacterium. RNAcentral's name for it is "partial 16S ribosomal RNA". It matches the Rfam family "Bacterial small subunit ribosomal RNA", at positions 181 to 353 of the family's 1533-position model. The record is from RNAcentral.
CGGCGGCGCAUGCCGCAGCGGCAAAAACUACCGGUGGUAUGGGAUGGGCCCGCGUCUGAUUAGCUAGUUGGCGGGGCAACGGCCCACCAAGGCGACGAUCAGUAGCCGGCCUGAGAGGGCGGACGGCCACAUUGGGACUGAGACACGGCCCAAACUCCUACGGGAGGCAGCAUG